AACGAACGCUGGCGGCGCGCCUAAUACAUGCAAGUCGAGCGAGAAGACGUAGCAAUACGUUUGUAAAGCGGCGAACGGGUGAGGAAUACAUGGGUAACCUACCCUCGAGUGGGGAAUAACUAGCCGAAAGGUUAGCUAAUACCGCAUACGGCUCCUGGUCUGCGGAUCAGGAGAGAAAGCGAUACCAUGGGUAUCGCGCUCUUGGAUGGGCUCAUGUCCUAUCAGCUUGUUGGUGAGGUAAUGGCUCACCAAGGCUUCGACGGGUAGCUGGUCUGAGAGGACGAUCAGCCACACUGGCACUGCGACACGGGCCAGACUCCUACGGGAGGCUG
This 332-nucleotide ribosomal RNA is filed under the name uncultured Nitrospirota bacterium. RNAcentral's name for it is "bacterial SSU rRNA". It matches the Rfam family "Bacterial small subunit ribosomal RNA", at positions 29 to 351 of the family's 1533-position model. The record is from RNAcentral. Lineage: Bacteria; Pseudomonadati; Nitrospirota.